RNAcentral lists this ribosomal RNA (445 nucleotides) under uncultured bacterium. RNAcentral's name for it is "partial 16S ribosomal RNA". It matches the Rfam family "Bacterial small subunit ribosomal RNA", at positions 354 to 796 of the family's 1533-position model. The record is from RNAcentral.
GUAAGGAAUAUUGGUCAAUGGAGGCAACUCUGAACCAGCCAUGCCGCGUGCAGGAAGACGGCCCUCUGGGUUGUAAACUGCUUUUAUCCGGGAAUAAACCUGCCUUCGUGAAGGUAGCUGAAUGUACCGGAAGAAUAAGGAUCGGCUAACUCCGUGCCAGCAGCCGCGGUAAUACGGAGGAUCCAAGCGUUAUCCGGAUUUAUUGGGUUUAAAGGGUGCGUAGGCGGCCUGUUAAGUCAGGGGUGAAAGACGGUGGCUCAACCAUCGCAGUGCCCUUGAUACUGAUGGGCUUGAAUGGACUAGAGGUAGGCGGAAUGUGACAAGUAGCGGUGAAAUGCAUAGAUAUGUCACAGAACACCGAUUGCGAAGGCGGCUUACUAUGGUCCUAUUGACGCUGAGGCACGAAAGCGUGGGGAUCGAACAGGAUUAGAUACCCUAGUAGUCC